RNAcentral lists this ribosomal RNA (370 nucleotides) under uncultured organism. RNAcentral's name for it is "bacterial SSU rRNA". It matches the Rfam family "Bacterial small subunit ribosomal RNA", at positions 526 to 896 of the family's 1533-position model. The record is from RNAcentral.
CGUAGGGUGCAAGCGUUAAUCGGAAUUACUGGGCGUAAAGCGUGCGCAGGUGGUUUUGUAAGUCUGUUGUGAAAUCCCCGGGCUCAACCUGGGAAUGGCAAUGGAGACUGCAAGGCUAGAGUUUGGCAGAGGGGGGUAGAAUUCCACGUGUAGCAGUGAAAUGCGUAGAUAUGUGGAGGAACACCGAUGGCGAAGGCAGCCCCCUGGGUCAAAACUGAUGCUCAUGCACGAAAGCGUGGGGAGCAAACAGGAUUAGAUACCCUGGUAGUCCACGCCCUAAACGAUGUCUACUAGUUGUCGGGUCUUAAUUGACUUGGUAACGCAGCUAACGCGUGAAGUAGACCGCCUGGGGAGUACGGUCGCAAGAUUA